This 253-nucleotide ribosomal RNA is filed under the name uncultured bacterium. RNAcentral describes it as "partial 16S ribosomal RNA". It matches the Rfam family "Bacterial small subunit ribosomal RNA", at positions 524 to 776 of the family's 1533-position model. The record is from RNAcentral.
UACGGAGGGUGCGAGCGUUGUUCGGAAUUAUUGGGCGUAAAGCGCGUGUAGGCGGUUACUUAAGUCUGAUGUGAAAGCCCCGGGCUUAACUUGGGAAGUGCAUUGGAAACUGGGCACCUUGAGGGUAUGAGAGGAAAGCGGAAUUCCUAGUGUAGCGGUGAAAUGCGUAGAUAUUCGGAGGAACACCGGUGGCGAAGGCGGCUUCCUGGACCGAUACUGACGCUGAGACGCGAAAGCGUGGGGAGCAAACAGG